UAGAGUUUGAUCCUGGCUCAGGAUGAACGCUGGCGGCGUGCCUAAUACAUGCAAGUCGAACGAGGUGCUUUUGUAGCAAUACGAAAGUAUCCUAGUGGCGAACGGGUGAGUAACGCGUGGGUAAUCUGCCCUCGGCAUCGGGAUAGCCCGGGGAAACCCGGAUUAAUACCGAAUAGCCUCCGGAGCUCUCGGGCGCCGGAGAAAAGGUAGCUUCGGCCUCUGGCCGAGGAUGAGCCCGCGGCGGAUUAGCUUGUUGGCGGGGUAACGGCCCACCAAGGCGACGAUCCGUAGCUGGUCUGAGAGGACGAUCAGCCACACUGGGACUGAGACACGGCCCAGACUCCUACGGGAGGCAGCAGUGGGGAAUCUUGCGCUAAUGCGGGAAACCGUGACGCAGCGACGCCGCGUGGGGGAAGAAGGCCUUCGGGUUGUAAACCUCUUUCAGGAGGGACGAAGCUACUCGGGUUAAUAGCCCAGAGGGUGACGGUACCUCCAGAAGAAGCCCCGGCUAACUACGUGCCAGCAGCCCCGGUCAA
RNAcentral lists this ribosomal RNA (536 nucleotides) under uncultured bacterium. RNAcentral's name for it is "bacterial SSU rRNA". It matches the Rfam family "Bacterial small subunit ribosomal RNA", at positions 1 to 524 of the family's 1533-position model. The record is from RNAcentral.